This 447-nucleotide ribosomal RNA is filed under the name uncultured bacterium. RNAcentral describes it as "bacterial SSU rRNA". It matches the Rfam family "Bacterial small subunit ribosomal RNA", at positions 335 to 794 of the family's 1533-position model. The record is from RNAcentral.
ACUCCUACGGGAGGCAGCAGUGGGGAAUAUUGGACAAUGGGGGCAACCCGUAGCAUCCAGCCAUGCCGCGUGAGUGAAGAAGGCCCUAGGGUCGUAAAGCUCUUUCAACUGUGAAGAUAAUGACGGUAGCAGUAGAAGAAACCCCGCCUAGCUACCCGUGCCAGCAGCCGCGGUAAUACGGAGGGGGUUAGCGUUGUUCGGAAUUACUGGGCGUAAAGCGCACGUAGGCGGACUAUUAAGUUAGAGGUGAAAUCCCAGGGCUCAACCCUGGAACUGCCUUUAAUACUGGUAGUCUUGAGUUCGAGAGAGGUGAGUGGAAUUCCGAGUGUAGAGGUGAAAUUCGUAGAUAUUCGGAGGAACACCAGUGGCGAAGGCGGCUCACUGGCUCGAUACUGACGCUGAGGUGCGAAAGUGUGGGGAGCAAACAGGAUUAGAUACCCUGGUAGA